UCUAGCCUGUCCCAAUUGGGUGCUCUCCAGGUCAAUGAGAUCCUUACAAAAGUAAGGAGGAUGGGCCUGAAGAAUCAGCGCUGCAGGCAGAUCACUAACCUCCAUAAGCACCCACACACUCAUGGACACACGGUCAUGUGACAUGGGAAGAUGGGGUGACGCUAUGACAGUCUCUCACUCGUAUCAUGAUGUGACGAAGCUGGUAUUUACAGAGCACCCACAGUUGCUCAGACUUAAGUUGUAUCAAUUUUUUCUAAGGUUUCAUAUUUGUAAAGCAAGUACUUUACCACUGAGCUAUAUUUCUUUUAUUUAGUUAGAGUUCGUUUGUCUUGUUUUUGUUUUUUUAAUGCAGGAUCUAAAUUAUAAAUUACUAGGGCUCAUCUAAAACUAGAUCCUUUCACAUCAGCCUCCAAGCCCUGGGCUGACAGACAUGUACCACCAUAGAUAUCAGUUUUCAAAUACAAAGAGGAAGAAGCUACGUUUUUCACCAAGAAUCAACUAGGAAUCACCGUGUUUGGUUUCUUUUUUUUCUUUCUUUCUUUUUUUUUUUUUUUUUUUUGGUUCUUUUUUUCGGAGCUGGGGAUCGAACCCAGGGCCUUGUGCUUCCUAAGCAAGCACUCUACCACUGAGCUAAAUCCCCAAGCCCGUUUGGUUUCAUUUUAAUUACAAAUGGUUUGCCUCAGUUGAGGUUUUCAUUUGGUUUGGGUUUUGUGGGACUAGGUCUCUCUAUGUAGCUCUGCUUGGCCUCCAGUUCACAGAGAUCCACCUGUCUCAGCUUCCCGAGUUCUGGGAUUAAAGGUGAGUGCCACCACACUACAAGACAAGCUUCACGUGUGCUUUCCCUCCUUUGAUUGGAAAGCACAGCGUAGGGAACCACUGCCCCUUCGAAGCUGUCACACACCAGGUGAGUCGUGGGAGUCAAAGGUGAGAGCCAAACUCUUGACUGUAAGUUCCCCGGGAGCCAGCACUGUGGCUGCUUGUUACUUCACCUCCGGGGUUCUUACUGGAGCCUCUAGAAAGCAGUGAGUGCUGUGUUAUUACCUCUUCCCACUGUAAUUUUCAAACACAAGUUAUUUCUGCCUCUUGGCUUCCGAGGGGCUGUGAAACAGUGAUGGGGCCACAGCAUCUGACUCCAUCACCUGCCUCCUACAGAAUCCUCACCACCGACGGGCUUAUUGACGUCAUAAAGCGACGACGCUACUAUUAGAAGCCUUGCCGCCGCCGCCAGAGGGAGAGCUAUGAAACAUGCUGGAGGAUCUACAACAUGGAAAUGGCUCGAAAGAUUAACUUCUUGGUGCGAAAGAACCGUGCAGACCCAUGGCUGGGCUGCUAAGGCUUGAGCCCACAUUGUUUCUACGUCCAACUCCUUUUUUUAUGCAACCCAUUUCUGUUACUUUUCUCCACAAUAAACUCAAUCACAGGUGAACAAGAAAAAAAGAUUAGAACAUGUCGCUUGCCGUAGCUAUUUCUGUACCAUGAUCACUGUCAGUAUAUUUGGGAGGAUGACACAGCCAUCCUGAUUUUCAAAGUUUCUAACAGGACUCUGUCCGUGAGAAAUACUAAAUGACCCAUAUGAAAAUGAAGUCAGUUUUACUGUUUUCAGGGUGUGGAAGAACAGCAUAUGUAUUCCAAAACCACAGCAAGUGAAAAAUAUACCUGCCUACUUCUCCCACCACAGAUGUGCAGCAGAAAGAGAAUAGGAACCGUGAGAACAAAGCAACAAAGAUCAAGAAUGGAGAAAGAAAAGCAGCAACUGACAGCAUUGUUACCACAGAAGACCACAGUUUUCACCAGAAGAGUAUGGUAGCCAGCAUAGGUGUGAAAACAGUCCUCCUAGACCUUCAUCUUCGGAAUAAUAUUUAAUUACUGUGGAUUCGACUCCAAGUGUGCCAAGUUUCUAAAUUCUCAAGGUCAGAAAAUAAAUCUGGAAGAUAUAAAAAAAA
Molecule: non-coding RNA, 1943 nt
Organism: Rattus norvegicus (Norway rat)
Lineage: Eukaryota; Metazoa; Chordata; Mammalia; Rodentia; Muridae
Source: RefSeq, a predicted model, not a curated record